This 29-nucleotide non-coding RNA is filed under the name Homo sapiens (human). The record is from RNAcentral. Lineage: Eukaryota; Metazoa; Chordata; Mammalia; Primates; Hominidae.
UACUACAGCGAAGUCUCCGACUAGGCCUC